RNAcentral lists this transfer RNA (74 nucleotides) under Pediococcus argentinicus. It matches the Rfam family "tRNA". From Rfam's summary of the family: Transfer RNA (tRNA) molecules are approximately 80 nucleotides in length. Their secondary structure includes four short double-helical elements and three loops (D, anti-codon, and T loops). Lineage: Bacteria; Bacillati; Bacillota; Bacilli; Lactobacillales; Lactobacillaceae. The record is from Rfam by way of RNAcentral.
CGGGAAGUAGCUCAGCUUGGUAGAGCACGUGCUUCGGGAGUACGGGGUCGCAGGUUCAAAUCCUGUUUUCCCGA